AUUGAACGCUGGCGGCAGGCUUAACACAUGCAAGUCGAGCGGAGUGAUGGUGCUUGCACUAUCACUUAGCGGCGGGCGGGUGAGUAAUGCUUAGGAAUCUGCUUAUUAGUGGGGGACAACAUAUCGACAGGGAUGAUAAUACCGCAUACGCUCUACGGGCGAAAGAAGGGGUUCAAUUUAUAUCUUGCGUUCAUGGAUGAACCAAAGUCGGAUUAGCUAGUUGGUUGGGUAAAGGCCUACCAAGGCGACGAUCUGUAUCGGGUCUGAGAGGAUGAUCCGCCACACUUGGACUGAGACACGGCCCAGACUCCUACGGGAGGCAGCAGUGUGGAAUAUUGGACAAUGGGGGGAACCCUGAUCCAGCCAUGCCGCGUGUGUGAAGAAGGCCUUAUGGUUGUAAAGCACUUUAAGCGAGGAGGAGGCUCUUUUGGUUAAUACCCAAGAUGAGUGGACGUUACUCGCAGAAUAAGCACCGGCUAACUCUGUGCCAGCCGCCGCGGUAA
RNAcentral lists this ribosomal RNA (503 nucleotides) under uncultured bacterium. RNAcentral's name for it is "partial 16S ribosomal RNA". It matches the Rfam family "Bacterial small subunit ribosomal RNA", at positions 30 to 523 of the family's 1533-position model. The record is from RNAcentral.